This 487-nucleotide ribosomal RNA is filed under the name uncultured bacterium. Its description in RNAcentral is "bacterial SSU rRNA". It matches the Rfam family "Bacterial small subunit ribosomal RNA", at positions 28 to 507 of the family's 1533-position model. The record is from RNAcentral.
GAUGAACGCUAGCGGGAGGCUUAACACAUGCAAGUCGAGGGGCAGCAUAGGGUAGCAAUACUCUGAUGGCGACCGGCAAACGGGUGAGUAACGCGUAUGCAACCUACCCUGUACAGGGGGAUAACCCGGAGAAAUUCGGACUAAUAUCCCGUAAUAAUAUCCGGAGGCAUCUUUGGAUAUUUAAAGUUCCGACGGUACGGGAUGGGCAUGCGUAACAUUGGCUGGUUGGUAAGGUAACGGCUUACCAAGGCUAUGAUGUUUAGGGGUCCUGAGAGGGUGGUCCCCCACACUGGUACUGAGACACGGACCAGACUCCUACGGGAGGCAGCAGUGAGGAAUAUUGGUCAAUGGGCGCAAGCCUGAACCAGCCAUCCCGCGUGCAGGAAGACGGCCCUAUGGGUUGUAAACUGCUUUUCCAGGGAGAGAAACUUACGCACGUGUUGCGUGACUGACGGUACCCUGGGAAUAAGCAUCGGCUAACUCCGUG